Molecule: unclassified non-coding RNA, 205 nt
Filed under: soil metagenome
Description: partial contains 5.8S ribosomal RNA, internal transcribed spacer 2, and large subunit ribosomal RNA
Source: RNAcentral
AACACUGUUAACCUGCGGUACCUGCGGAGGGAUCAUUACCGAGUUUACAGCUCCCAAACCCCUGUGAACAUACCACUUGUUGCCUCGGCGGAUCAGCCCGCUCCCGGUAAAACGGGACGGCCCGCCAGAGGACCCCUAAACUCUGUUUCUAUAUGUAACUUCUGAGUAAAACCAUAAAUAAAUCAAAACUUUUAACAACGGAUCU